AGUCGCCACGGCCCGCGGGGAGAGGGGACGCUUCUUCCCUUCCCUUCCGGGCGCCUCACGGGACGCGCUCGCCCGCGGCUCUCCGGGCCCCCGCGCCUCAGCGCCCGGGCCUCAGGCGGCCUCCACGGUGACUGCGGGCGCUGACCCGGAACUGCUGAGCGGCGCGGGAAUCCCCCGCAAGGGGCUCGGCCUUGCGUCUCCAGGGCGCCACCUCGCGGCCGUGGCGGGAACACCCAAACCCGGGCGCACGCCCGCGGGAGCCCGAGGCCGCCGGGAGGCCCGGGGACGCGGUGAGGCGGGCGGACCGGCCGGCCGGUGACUUUGGGAGCCACUGGGGUUCGAGCGCCGAGCCUGCAGCUCACGCCCCAGCUCGCGGCCGCCGAGGAGAGCGCGGGAAGCAGCCCUGCGCACUUGGGAGGCAGAGGCAGAGGCAAGCAGGUGUCUGAGGUCGAAGCCAGCCUGGUCUACAUAGCUAGUUCCAGGACUGCUGGGGCUGUUAGACAGAGAAGCUCUGCCUCGAAUCCCUGUCCCAACCGCAACCCCAAAGAAGAUUGGCUGCUGAUACUGCUCAACUUAAUAUCCUAAAGCUGCUAUGGCAUAAAAAGUCUUUGGGGCAAAAAAGACUGCCUGAUUGAAGAAUGGCAGAAGCAGUCUUGAUUGAUCUCUCUGGUUUACAAUUGAAUGCACAGAAAAACUGCCAUGAGACCUUACUGGAGACACUGGAUGGUAUUCACUACCACCACGCUCCCAAGGCCAAGUUCCUUUGCAUAAUAUGUUGCAGAAAUGCCAGCAAGGAAAAGGAUGGGGAGUAUGGCCUCUGUGAAUUGGAAGCAGGAAAUGGCUUUUCACGUCUCGCGGGAAAAUUCGAGACUGUUAGCCAUCCCUGCCUGGCUGCCUCUUUGUAUACAAUUAAACAAAAAAUUGAUGAAGAAAAUCUGAGCUGCAUUAAGGUGAUUGUCCCCGAGCACAGGAAACUGUUAAUGAAGGCUUACGUUGGUCAACUCUUCACCGAGGUGUAUGAGUUUGAGUUUGAAGAUCUACAGGGAGCUUGGAGGGAUAGCCUUUUGAAACCAUCCACUGGAAUAAACGUGACCACAACUCAAGAACUAGAAGACAUCCAGCAUGAAAUAGAAACAUACUUGAGAAGCCUGCCAGCGCUGAAAGGGGACCUAACUAUUGUCACAUCUCCUCUGAUCCCAGACAACUUCCUGCAUGGAUUUACCACACGGACAGGGGGCAUAUCUUCCGUACCCACUCUCAGCUCCCUCAAUCUUUUCAGUAGUUCCAAAAGGAGAGAUCCCAAAGUGGUUGUUCAAGAAAAUGUUCGCAGGUUGGCAAAUGCUGCCGGAUUUAACGCAGAGAAAUUUUACCGAAUAAAGACUGAUCACGCCAGUGAAGUGUGGGUUAUGGGGAAGAAGGAGCCUGAAUCUUACGAUGGGAUCGUCACAAAUCAGAGAGGAGUCACAAUCACUGCUCUUGGCGCCGACUGUAUACCCAUCGUCUUCGCAGAUCCUGUGAAAAAGGCAUGUGGGGUUGCUCACUCCGAAAGAAAGGGAGAGGACUGAAAGGACAUCAUUCCUAUGGAGGCUAAACAUCAAUACCACUUUUCAAAAGAAACUCCCAUUAACCGUCCAUUCUGUAAGGUGCUCUGUGUGGUUCAUCGAAUGGUAAAGUCGGUACUGUAAUGGAGUCAUUAGUUUUGUGGCUCAUCUAUUAUACCUGGACUUUGAACACAUAAACCACAGCUGUUAAUUUUUCACUGAGUCAUGAAAGCAGUUGCAGUUCUACAUUUUUUAACUUCCCUUGUCUUUUCUUCCCGUUUACCAGGCUGGAAAGGUACAUUGUUGGGUGUGGCUAUGGCUACUGUGAAUGCUAUGAUAGCAGAAUAUGGCUGUGAUGUGGAAGACAUUAUUGUUGUUCUGGGACCGUCAGUGGGUUCUUGCUGCUUCACUCUUCCCAAAGAAUCAGCAGUCUCCUUUCACAGUCUUCAUCCUUCAUGUGUGAGACACUUUGACUCACCGAGACCCUACGUUGACAUCCGAAAAGCCACCAGGAUUCUUCUAGAAAGAGGAGGAAUUCUUCCACAGAACAUUCAAGACCAGAAGGAAGAUCUUGACCUCUGCACGUCCUGCCAUCCUGAGAAGUUUUUCUCCCAUGUCCGCGAUGGCCUUAACUUCGGUACACAGAUUGGCUUCAUAUCCCUUAGAGAAUGAGGUUCUUGGCUGGAGUUUUGCAUAAAGGAUGUUUCCUGCAUCCUUCCACACUGGCUGCAAAAGAAAAUACUUAGCUUUCUGAUUUAUAUAAAACCAUGAGGAUUACAAAAGAUAAUUCAUCUUUAGGGUAUGCUCUUACUGUUACCCAAAGCCCAGUGAUCUUGGUCUAAUUCUUAUGACAACUGAUCAAAAAACCCAAUGUGAUGUCAUUCCUGAAGGUCGUUCUCUGUAUUUGUCUAUAAAUCAAGGCCAGGGCUGUUCAGUUAAGUAUUUGGUAGAUGCCAACUUUUGUUUAGGCAUGGAGCCCAGCACAGGGAAUUGAAAUGAAGUCAGCUUUCUCAUUUGAAGCAGAUGCAGCUGGGAGAUACCUGUUCCCUUAGGUUUCCUUAUGGCAUUCUCAAGCGCCAUGUUUUUGCUGAUCCUUCCCUCCCCUUCCCUGUCCCCUGUGUCCCCUUCCACUCCCGGUAGCCCCUCUUUCCUGUCUCAUGGGCUUUAAUACUUCUCCCUUGCUCAGUCCUCUCUUUAUGUUCCCUUUCUAGUAUCAACACCUAUAUCCACACCUAUGACCACAAAUUUACAGAUCCAUAUAUAUGUAUGUUUACAUAAACAGUAAAAGUUAGAAUUUAUAUUUAUAUAUAAGAAAAAAUACAUGCAGUGUUUGUUAUUCCCAGUCUGGAUUAUUUUGGUCAGCAUAAAAUAAUUCCAGAUCUCUCAAUUUUCCUACAAGUUUGAUAACUUCAUUAUGGCUAAAUAAAAUAUUGUGUGUAUGAACUGCA
RNA transcript from Mus musculus (house mouse), 2989 nucleotides. It is a transcript of the gene named laccase domain containing 1, with no coding region annotated. The record is from RefSeq and is marked provisional. Lineage: Eukaryota; Metazoa; Chordata; Mammalia; Rodentia; Muridae. The transcript has 8 exons.